Molecule: ribosomal RNA, 253 nt
Filed under: uncultured bacterium
Lineage: Bacteria
Description: partial 16S ribosomal RNA
Rfam family: Bacterial small subunit ribosomal RNA
Source: RNAcentral
UACGUAGGGUGCGAGCGUUGUCCGGAAUUACUGGGCGUAAAGAGCUUGUAGGUGGUUUGUCGCGUUGUUCGUGAAAUCUCACGGCUCAACUGUGAGCGUGCGGGCGAUACGGGCAGACUAGAGUACUGCAGGGGAGACUGGAAUUCCUGGUGUAGCGGUGAAAUGCGCAGAUAUCAGGAGGAACACCGGUGGCGAAGGCGGGUCUCUGGGCCGUAACUGACGCUGAGGAGCGAAAGCAUGGGGAGCGAACAGG